AGAGCCUGUGGCUUUUCGACUUUCUCGGCAUGAUCUUGCGACUUUUUGAGUCUACCUUUGAGCGCCUGAAUCAAUUCAACAAAAAGAGGUAAAAUCCCCUAGUUGGGCUGUCUUCCAGCAAGCUCUUAGCUUUCAUCGUGAGUGAGAGAGGAAUUGGGGCUGAUCCAGCUAAGGUGAAAGCCAUUGUGAAUCUAUGCCGUCACCUCGUAACCUCCAAGAGUUGCGUAGUCUGCCGGGGCGGCUCCAGCCUUUGAUCUCAAAAGCUAGAACUCGAUGUCAAUCCUUUUCCCAUCAAGACGCGAACUUUGUUUGGACGCUAAAGCAAGCACAAAGAAAGAGGUUUUUAUUCCUUCUGAUCUUAUUCCCGAACACAAAAUUAUCGAAGA
RNAcentral lists this long non-coding RNA (386 nucleotides) under Gossypium barbadense (sea-island cotton). RNAcentral's name for it is "long non-coding RNA (GBAR_LNC015469)". The record is from RNAcentral. Lineage: Eukaryota; Viridiplantae; Streptophyta; Magnoliopsida; Malvales; Malvaceae.